Molecule: ribosomal RNA, 364 nt
Filed under: uncultured bacterium
Lineage: Bacteria
Description: bacterial SSU rRNA
Rfam family: Bacterial small subunit ribosomal RNA
Source: RNAcentral
AACGAACGCUGGCGGCGCGCCUAAUACAUGCAAGUCGAGCGAGAAGACGUAGCAAUACGUUUGUAAAGCGGCGAACGGGUGAGGAAUACAUGGGUAACCUACCCUCGAGUGGGGAAUAACUAGCCGAAAGGUUAGCUAAUACCGCGUACGCUCCUUGGACUUCGGUUCAGGGAGGAAAGCGAUACCGUGGGUAUCGCGCUCUUGGAUGGGCUCAUGUCCUAUCAGCUUGUUGGUGAGGUAACGGCUCACCAAGGCUUCGACGGGUAGCUGGUCUGAGAGGACGGCCAGCCACAAUGGCACUGAAACACGGGCCAUACUCCUACGGGAGGCAGCAGUGGGGAAUUUUGCGCAAUGGGCGAAAGCC